This 1245-nucleotide long non-coding RNA is filed under the name Zea mays. RNAcentral's name for it is "long non-coding RNA (ZMAY_LNC000123)". Lineage: Eukaryota; Viridiplantae; Streptophyta; Magnoliopsida; Poales; Poaceae. The record is from RNAcentral.
UAACAACCUGGGCGGCUUGCUGGGACCGACUGCUCCUCUGCGCGGAUCUAUUUAGCCGAGCCCUCAUCCAUGUUGCGCUGGCGUGAUAGCCGUGAGGGAAUACACGACCGUGUGAGCUGUGCCAUAGCCCUUGUGUGUCCACCAUUGUCGUGACCUUGUUAUCAAGUCGAGAAGCGCUGCCAGUUCGCAAGUGAGAAUGUGGCAACCUCGCUGCGCAGGACAAGCGACCAAGGGCGGGGAGUUUUCACUGGAGGAAGACCAUCGUUGCGGCUUCACUGCUCGCAUGGCCAGGGGCACUUCUUCUCCAAUCCACGGUAAUUAGCUCCUCCCAGAGUUCAUUGUGUCCUUAGGAUCGUUUUGCACCGAGUCAUAUGGACAAUCGUGCGCCGGGGAUCGAGCGCCUAUGUCGCCGGCGUACGCUUCGUCGUAAGCCGAGGCGGCGCCGCCGUUCUUUUCGACCCAGUGAGGAAGAAUGCUGCACGCCGUCGGAUCUGUUGUCGACGGCCGUGAUUAGUGGCAGGUUACCGAUUCGGGGGGUGAAUAGCGACUGUUGGAUCUUCAAGCGAAGAUGGCUGAGAUGAUAGGGGUUAAUAGAAUCGGGUCCGUCGGUUUUAAGCGGAUGGCUGAGAUGAACCGACACCAUUUCAGCUUGACCAACGUCUAAUCUAGGUCGUAGAUUCAAAUUGGACGGCUCAGCCAGCCCCGUACCCCUUCGACCAGUCAGAAUUAUAAAAGAGACCCUGAGUUUUUAUAAAAUAAACCCGUCGUCCAUAUUCGUUAGGAAGUAAUUGCAACCGAGUCCUGAAAUUCAUGAACUGAACCCGAGCUUUUUGGGAUUCCUGCGUGCGAUCCAGGGAUGAAAUAAAUUGAGUAAAUUAAUAUAUAAAAUGAUUUCUAGUAUAAAAAUAAUUUCAGAAACUUGUUUAAUUCAUAUUUAAUUCAUUUUAACUCCUUUUUAUCCAUUCCAGUUGCAUUAGAUUCAUAUUAAUAUUGUUUAUCAUGUAGUAACCUUAUAUUGUUAUGAAAUAUAGGUUAGAAUUAUACAAUUAAUUUGUUUUAUAUCUAACACCUAAAUCUUUGGUAAAUCAUAAUUCUUUAGCUGUAAAUCCGAACUCAGUGGUUCUCGAACCUAGGAUCUUGUUACGAUGCGUAGAACAUUAUUAUGCAGUUUGUUCUUAUGUUUGGUGUGAUGUUAAUUUUGCCUAUAGAAGACCAAGUUGGUACCUGGGAACCUCGAGUCUAAGG